This 413-nucleotide ribosomal RNA is filed under the name uncultured bacterium. RNAcentral describes it as "bacterial SSU rRNA". It matches the Rfam family "Bacterial small subunit ribosomal RNA", at positions 29 to 433 of the family's 1533-position model. The record is from RNAcentral.
AACGAACGCUGGCGGCGCGCCUAAUACAUGCAAGUCGAGCGAGAAGACGUAGCAAUACGUUUGUAAAGCGGCGAACGGGUGAGGAAUACAUGGGUAACCUACCCUCGAGUGGGGAAUAACUAGCCGAAAGGUUAGCUAAUACCGCGUACGCUCCUUGGACUUCGGUUCAGGGAGGAAAGCGAUACCGUGGGUAUCGCGCUCUUGGAUGGGCUCAUGUCCCAUCAGCUUGUUGGUGAGGAACGGCUCACCAAGGCUUCGACGGGUAGCUGGUCUGAGAGGACGAUCAGCCACACUGGCACUGCGACACGGGCCAGACUCCUACGGGAGGCAGCAGUAAGGAAUAUUGCGCAAUGGGCGAAAGCCUGACGCAGCGACGCCGCGUGGGGGAUGAAGGUCUUCGGAUUGUAAACCCC